This 668-nucleotide ribosomal RNA is filed under the name uncultured Bacteroidota bacterium. RNAcentral describes it as "bacterial SSU rRNA". It matches the Rfam family "Bacterial small subunit ribosomal RNA", at positions 46 to 703 of the family's 1533-position model. The record is from RNAcentral. Lineage: Bacteria; Pseudomonadati; Bacteroidota.
GCUUAACACAUGCAAGUCGAGGGGCAGCAGGGAUUUAGCUUGCUAAAUCCGCUGGCGACCGGCGCACGGGUGCGUAACGCGUAUCCAACCUUCCCGUUACUCUGGGAUAGCCUUCCGAAAGGGUGAUUAAUACCGGAUGGUGUUCAAUUGGUGCAUAUUAUUUGAACUAAAGAUUUAUCGGUAACGGAUGGGGAUGCGUACCAUUAGAUAGUAGGCGGGGUAACGGCCCACCUAGUCGACGAUGGUUAGGGGUUCUGAGAGGAAGGUCCCCCACACUGGAACUGAGACACGGUCCAGACUCCUACGGGAGGCAGCAGUGAGGAAUAUUGGUCAAUGGCCGGGAGGCUGAACCAGCCAAGUAGCGUGAAGGAUGAAGGUUCUAUGGAUUGUAAGCUUCUUUUAUACGGGAAUAACACCAUCUACGUGUAGAUGCCUGCAUGUACCGUAUGAAUAAGCAUCGGCUAACUCCGUGCCAGCAGCCGCGGUAAUACGGAGGAUGCGAGCGUUAUCCGGAUUUAUUGGGUUUAAAGGGAGCGUAGACGGGAUGUUAAGUCAGUUGUGAAAUGCUGUGGCUCAACCAUAGCACUGCAGUUGAUACUGGCGUUCUUGAGUGCGUAUGAGGUAUGUGGAAUUCGUGGUGUAGCGGUGAAAUGCUUAGAUAUCACGAA